CACUCUAAGCGGUGGAUCACUCGGCUCAUGGGUCGAUGAAGAACGCAGCAAACUGUGCGUCAUCGUGUGAACUGCAGGACACAUGAACAUCGACAUUUUGAACGCAUAUCGCAGUCCAUGCUGUUAUGGU
RNAcentral lists this ribosomal RNA (130 nucleotides) under Drosophila willistoni. Its description in RNAcentral is "5.8S ribosomal RNA". It matches the Rfam family "5.8S ribosomal RNA", at positions 1 to 129 of the family's 154-position model. Rfam says of the family: 5.8S ribosomal RNA (5.8S rRNA) is a component of the large subunit of the eukaryotic ribosome. It is transcribed by RNA polymerase I as part of the 45S precursor that also contains 18S and 28S rRNA. The record is from RNAcentral. Lineage: Eukaryota; Metazoa; Arthropoda; Insecta; Diptera; Drosophilidae.